GAUGAGCGCUAGCUACAGGCUUAACACAUGCAAGUCGAGGGGAAACGACAUCGAAAGCUUGCUUCCGAUGGGCGUCGACCGGCGCACGGGUGAGUAACGCGUAUCCAACCUGCCCACCACUUGGGGAUAACCUUGCGAAAGUAAGACUAAUACCCAAUGAUAUCUCUAGAAGACAUCUGAAAGAGAUUAAAGAUUUAUCGGUGAUGGAUGGGGAUGCGCCUGAUUAGCUUGUUGGCGGGGUAACGGCCCACCAAGGCGACGAUCAGUAGGGGUUCUGAGAGGAAGGUCCCCCACAUUGGAACUGAGACACGGUCCAAACUCCUACGGGAGGCAGCAGUGAGGAAUAUUGGUCAAUGGACGAGAGUCUGAACCAGCCAAGUAGCGUGCAGGAAGACGGCCCUAUGGGUUGUAAACUGCUUUUAUAAGGGAAUAAAGUGAGUCUCGUGAGACUUUUUGCAUGUACCUUAUGAAUAAGGACCGGCUAAUUCCGUGCCAGCCGCCGCAGUAA
This 508-nucleotide ribosomal RNA is filed under the name uncultured bacterium. RNAcentral's name for it is "partial 16S ribosomal RNA". It matches the Rfam family "Bacterial small subunit ribosomal RNA", at positions 28 to 523 of the family's 1533-position model. The record is from RNAcentral.